Molecule: ribosomal RNA, 441 nt
Filed under: uncultured bacterium
Lineage: Bacteria
Description: partial 16S ribosomal RNA
Rfam family: Bacterial small subunit ribosomal RNA
Source: RNAcentral
CCUACGGGGGGCAGCAGUGGGGGAUAUUGCACAAUGGGGGAAACCCUGAUGCAGCGAAGCCGCGUGGGUGAAGGAGGGUUUCGGCGCGUAAAGCCCUAUCGGCAGGGAAGAAGGAGGACGGUACCUGACUAAGAAGCACCGGCUAAAUACGUGCCAGCAGCCGCGGUAAUACGCAGGGGGCAAGCGUUAUCCGGAUUUACUGGGUGUAAAGGGGGCGCAGGCGGCAGCGCAAGCCAGGAGUGAAAGCCCGGGGCCCAACCCCGGGACUGCGGUUGGAACUGGGCGGCUGGAGUGCAGGAGGGGCAGGCGGAAUGCCUGGUGUAGCGGUGAAAUGCGUAGAGAGGAGGAGGAACACCGGUGGAGAAGGCGGCCUGCUGGACUGCGACUGACGUUGAGGCCCGAAAGUGUGGGUAUCGAACAGGAUUAGAGACCCUAGUAGUC